GAUGAAGAACGCAGCGAAAUGCGAUACGUAAUGUGAAUUGCAGAAUUCAGUGAAUCAUCGAAUCUUUGAACGCAUAUUGCGCUCUCUGGUAUUCCGGAGAGCAUGCUUGUUUGAGUAUCAGUAAACACCUCAACUCCCUUUUCUUUUUUGAAAUUGGAGCUGGACUUGAGUGAUCCCAACGCUUUCUUCCAGGAAAGUGGCGGGUUGCUUGAAAUGCAGGUGCAGCUGAACUUUUCUCUGAGCUAUAAGCAUAUCUAUUUAGUCUGCCUAAAAAACAGAUUAUUACCUUUGCUGCAGCUAACAUAAAGGAGACUAGUUCUUGUGCUGACUGAUGCAGGAUUCACAGAGACAGCUUCGGCUGACUUUGUAAACUCGAUCUCAAAUCAAGUAAGACUACCCGCUGAACUUAAGCAUAUCAAUAAGCGGAGGA
Molecule: unclassified non-coding RNA, 430 nt
Filed under: soil metagenome
Description: partial contains 5.8S ribosomal RNA, internal transcribed spacer 2, and large subunit ribosomal RNA
Rfam family: 5.8S ribosomal RNA (bases 1-120)
Source: RNAcentral